CCUGACCCACCGUCAUAGAAGGAUCCAGAUGACAGUGAAACACUCCUCCAAGAAGAAACUUCCUUGGACUUUAAUGGUGGUGAAGGGGUCUUGUUUGCAUCAUUAGUUGAUGAUCGAAAAAAGAAGAAGUUGUUCUUCAUCAUCUCUAUGUAUGGAGACUGUACAUGAAUCAAACUAGUGUCCAUGAGAUUUCAAAGGACAAAGCAAAACACUCAUAAACAGCCACUCACAAAU
This 234-nucleotide long non-coding RNA is filed under the name Capsicum annuum. RNAcentral's name for it is "long non-coding RNA (CANN_LNC000008)". The record is from RNAcentral. Lineage: Eukaryota; Viridiplantae; Streptophyta; Magnoliopsida; Solanales; Solanaceae.